AGUCACGCUGUAAACGAUGUCGAUUUGGAGGUUGUUCCCUUGAGGAGUGGCUUCCGGAGCUAACGCGUUAAAUCGACCGCCUGGGGAGUACGGCCGCAAGGUUAAAACUCAAAUGAAUUGACAGGGGCCCGCACAAGCGGUGGAGCAUGUGGUUUAAUUCGAUGCAACGCGAAGAACCUUACCUACUCUUGACAUCCAGAGAAUUUAGCAGAGAUGCUUUAGUGCCUUCGGGAACUCUGAGACAGGUGCUGCAUGGCUGUCGUCAGCUCGUGUUGUGAAAUGUUGGGUUAAGUCCCGCAACGAGCGCAACCCUUAUCCUUUGUUGCCAGCACGUUAUGGUGGGAACUCAAAGGAGACUGCUGGUGAUAAACCGGAGGAAGGUGGGGAUGACGUCAAGUCAUCAUGGCCCUUACGAGUAGGGCUACACACGUGCUACAAUGGCGUAUACAAAGAGAAGCGACCUCGCGAGAGCAAGCGGAACUCAUAAAGUACGUCGUAGUCCGGAUUGGAGUCUGCAACUCGACUCCAUGAAGUCGGAAUCGCUAGUAAUCGUAGAUCAGAAUGCUACGGUGAAUACGUUCCCGGGCCUUGUACACACCGCCCGUCACACCAUGGGAGUGGGUUGCAAAAGAAGUAGGUAGCUUAACCUUCGGGAGGGCGCUUACCACUUUGUGAUUCAUGACUGGGGUGAAGUCGUAACAAGGUAACCA
This 710-nucleotide ribosomal RNA is filed under the name uncultured Providencia sp. RNAcentral describes it as "bacterial SSU rRNA". It matches the Rfam family "Bacterial small subunit ribosomal RNA", at positions 793 to 1502 of the family's 1533-position model. Lineage: Bacteria; Pseudomonadati; Pseudomonadota; Gammaproteobacteria; Enterobacterales; Morganellaceae. The record is from RNAcentral.